This 645-nucleotide unclassified non-coding RNA is filed under the name Allium prattii. Its description in RNAcentral is "sequence contains ITS1, 5.8S rRNA gene, ITS2". The stretch from base 246 to 401 matches the Rfam family "5.8S ribosomal RNA". The record is from RNAcentral. Lineage: Eukaryota; Viridiplantae; Streptophyta; Magnoliopsida; Asparagales; Amaryllidaceae.
UCGAGUCCCUUUUUGGAAGAUUGAGAAGAUAUAGCCAUGCCCAUUUAGAACAAGGCAGUUGUGCUGUGUGCACUUUGACUUUUCGGAUGGGUUUCCUCUGCUGCAUUCACCCUGCUUUCUUUGAAGAAAGAAGGAGAGGGGAAAUACGAGAACGGCCCGAUUUGGGCCAAGGACAGCUGCUGUUGGAGUGCAUCGCCUUAAUUUGGUUGUACUGUGUGCUACUCUACAAGCGGGAGCAUAUGAAUGACUCUCGGCAAUGGAUAUCUUGGCUCUCGUUUCGAUGAAGAACGUAGCGAAAUGCGACACUUGGUGUGAAUUGCAGAAUCCCGUGAACCAUCGAGUCUUUGAAUGCAAGUUGCGCUCGAGACCAUUAGGUCGAGGGCACGUCUGCUUGGGCGUCAUGCCUUGCGUCAUUCUAAACAUCAACCCACCUUAAAUAAAAUUGUGGGUAACGGUGGAUGUGGAGAUUGGCCCUCCGUGCUUUUGAUGUGCGGUUGGUUUAAGUGACGGUCGUCGCUAGGAUUGCACGCGGCGAAUGUUGAUCGAGUUCAUGCACGAAGUCUUCAGCUGCGUACAUGAGUCCUAACCAUGAUGUAUUAUAAUUGAAACCAUUAUCAAUGUUUGCACUAUUCGCAAGCAUGGACC